This 237-nucleotide unclassified non-coding RNA is filed under the name Tetragenococcus halophilus. RNAcentral describes it as "16S-23S ribosomal RNA intergenic spacer 4". The record is from RNAcentral. Lineage: Bacteria; Bacillati; Bacillota; Bacilli; Lactobacillales; Enterococcaceae.
AAGGAAAAAUACGGAAGGUCGACACGGAAGGUCGACACAUCGUUUGCGCUUUGUUCAGUUUUGAGAGGUUUACUCUCAGGGGGCCUUUCUUUGACUGGGAGAGCGCCUGCUUUGCACAACACCAACCGAGAAUCCGCGUUGAACACGUUUUUUAACGAAGUUUACGCACAUGUUCGAAGGGCUUUGAUCGCUCAAAGCAAACACCUUCGAGAAACCCUUGACCGCAAGGUCAAGUCA